UCCGUAGGUGAACCUGCGGAAGGAUCAUUAAAGAUUCGUCCCUCGGGACAACCUCAUCAGCUGUGCGCUCCGGCUGCACGCUGUUGAACCUCACACACCCGUGCACCAUUCGGUUGCGAUCGGUCCGCAAGGUCGAACGCUUCCGCUUUUACAUAUCACAACUCAGUCUAGAAUGUCAAAAACAAUAACUAUAAACAACUUUUAACAACGGAUCUCUUGGCUCUCGCAUCGAUGAAGAACGCAGCGAAAUGCGAUAAGUAAUGUGAAUUGCAGAAUUCAGUGAAUCAUCGAAUCUUUGAACGCAACUUGCGCUCCUUGGUAUUCCAUGGAGCAUGCCUGUUUGAGUGUCACGUAAACCCUCACCCUUGUGAUGUAAAAGUCGCGAUGCGGUGGACUUGGACCGUGCCGUAAUUGGCUCGUCCUGAAAUGCAUUAGCUUGUGCUCGUUAGAGUGCUCGGCGUGGUGUGAUAAUUAUCUGCGCCGUCGCCUUAGGCCUCUUCUGUGUGCGCUGCUUCUAAUCGGUCCUCUUUGGGGACAACGGUAACAUUAAGGCUUUGGGCCUCAAAUCAGGGGUAGGGGACUACCCGGGCUGGAACUUAAGG
RNAcentral lists this ribosomal RNA (602 nucleotides) under uncultured fungus. RNAcentral describes it as "eukaryotic LSU rRNA". The stretch from base 197 to 350 matches the Rfam family "5.8S ribosomal RNA". Lineage: Eukaryota; Fungi. The record is from RNAcentral.